GGCAUCAAAGAGCGUCUUGAUAGAGUUGGAUUGGAGGUGCCAAAGAUCGAAGUAAGGUUUGAGGAAUUGAAUAUAGAGGCGGAUGUGAGAACUGGCUCAAGAGCUUUGCCUAGCUUGAUUAAUGUCGUACGAGACACCGUUGAGGAUAUACUGACCACUUUGAGAGUAUUUCGACCUAAGAAACAUUCUUUAACCAUUUUGAACUACGU
Molecule: unclassified non-coding RNA, 209 nt
Filed under: Hevea brasiliensis (rubber tree)
Lineage: Eukaryota; Viridiplantae; Streptophyta; Magnoliopsida; Malpighiales; Euphorbiaceae
Source: RNAcentral